Molecule: long non-coding RNA, 1107 nt
Organism: Cataglyphis hispanica
Lineage: Eukaryota; Metazoa; Arthropoda; Insecta; Hymenoptera; Formicidae
Exons: 3
Source: RefSeq, a predicted model, not a curated record
AAGCAUUCUGGCAAUCAAUUCCAUGGAAAAAAGAAAGGGUUAUAAAGGAAUGCAAACGACAAGCAAACAUAUCAGUGUAUAUAGAUAUAAAUUCCUUUUUGGAAGACCCUUGGGAAGAUCUAGUCAAAAAAUUUAAUUCAAAAGAAAUAAGCAAAAAUGAAACAUCUAAGAAUGAAUCUCUGUACAGUUUAAAAUUGACAGAUAAUGAUCUUGUAAAAAAAUCAGAAUAAAUUUUCAAGAGAUAAAUUUGGAUGAUUCACAGUGUAGUAGUCAAGAGACUAAAAAUGAUCAGACACUGAUCAGAAAAAUAUAUAACAGUAAAUAAAGAAGAACAUUUAUAUUAUGAAGAGAAAUAAUACUAGACAAAAAUACAUGUAAUAAUUGUUGCUGUACAGAUAUUCAUGAAUUGUAUAUAGGUAUGUAUAUAAGUACAUCAUAGAAAAAAUUCAAUGUAUUAAAAUUUUUCGAGAUACAUUUUUUUGGAAACAGGUUAGAGUUGUGAAAUUAUAUUCAAAAUGUAUGUGAAGCAAGCUAACAUUAUCUUAUAGAUUAUAUAUUUUCACAAUUUGACUGUGACAAAAAGAUGUAUAAAUAUGUAUAUUUUAGACUUAUAUAGUUAUAUGUGCAAUUUUGUAGUACAUAUGAGUCCACUAAGAAUACAAGAACUUGAGGAAACAGUAAAGAAUCUUAAGACAGAAUUAUAAAAAAAAAGCAUAUGUGAGAUUUGAAAUUUUAUUAAGAAGUAUAGAAUCUCUGUUCACUUUUUAAAUUCAUCUUUUAAGUUAUUAAUUUUCGAAGUUUACUUAAAAUAUCAAUUUUGAUACUUGAACAUAAUAGGUACUUAACACAAUAGAUACUUGAACACAAUACUAUUUUGGUCGUAUAAAUGUUACAUUAAUUUUUUCUAUUCUUAUUUAGCAAGUUUGUAAAUAUAUUCAGUAUCAAUCUUAUGGUUAAUAUUUACAAAAUUUUUGUAAAUUCUGGAUUUAUAAGUAAGCUAUUUAUAUUGGAUAUAUCCAUCUUUUUAUAUGAAUAUUUCGAAUUUAAAGUAUAUUAUUUUCUCAUUUAAUAUUAGAAUAUAAUUAAAACUAGUUAUUUAUAUAUAGU